CUAGAGUUUGAUCCUGGCUCAGAAUCAACGCUGGCGGCGUGCCUAACACAUGCAACUCGAACGCGAAAGUGGAGCAAUCCAUGAGUAGAGUGGCAAACGGGUGAGUAACGCGUGGGUGACCUGCCUUCGAGUGGGGGAUAACGUUCCGAAAGGGACGCUAAUACCGCAUGACAUCCUGCCUUUGAAGAGGCGGAGAUCAAAGCCGGGGAUCGCAAGACCUGGCGCUUGAUGAGGGGCCCGCGUCUGAUUAGCUAGUUGGUGAGGUAACGGCUCACCAAGGCAACGAUCAGUAUCCGGCCUGAGAGGGCGGACGGACACACUGGGACUGAGACACGGCCCAGACUCCUACGGGAGGCAGCAGUGGGGAAUUGUUCGCAAUGGGCGCAAGCCUGACGACGCAACGCCGCGUGGAGGAUGAAGGCCUUCGGGU
This 430-nucleotide ribosomal RNA is filed under the name uncultured Acidobacteriota bacterium. RNAcentral describes it as "bacterial SSU rRNA". It matches the Rfam family "Bacterial small subunit ribosomal RNA", at positions 1 to 423 of the family's 1533-position model. Lineage: Bacteria; Pseudomonadati; Acidobacteriota. The record is from RNAcentral.